GGAUUUUUAAGUGAGGUGUGAAAGCCCCGGGCUUAACCUGGGAAUUGCAUUUCAGACUGGGAAUCUAGAGUACUUUAGGGAGGGGUAGAAUUCCACGUGUAGCGGUGAAAUGCGUAGAGAUGUGGAGGAAUACCGAAGGCGAAGGCAGCCCCUUGGGAAUGUACUGACGCUCAUGUGCGAAAGCGUGGGGAGCAAACAGGAUUAGAUACCCUGGUAGUCCACGCUGUAAACGCUGUCGAUUUGGGGGUUGGGGUUUAACUCUGGCGCCCGUAGCUAACGUGAUAAAUCGACCGUCUGGGGAGUACGGCCGCAAGGUUAAAACUCAAAUGAAUUGACGGGGGCCCGCACAAGCGGUGGAGCAUGUGGUUUAAUUCGAUGCAACGCGAAGAACCUUACCUACUCUUGACAUCCAGAGAAUCCUGUAGAGAUACGGGAGUGCCUUAGGGAGCUUUGAGACAGGUGCUGCAUGGCUGUCGUCAGCUCGUGUUGUGAAAUGUUGGGUUAAGUCCCGCAACGAGCG
This is a ribosomal RNA of 520 nucleotides. It matches the Rfam family "Bacterial small subunit ribosomal RNA", at positions 577 to 1098 of the family's 1533-position model.